UAAAUUGAAGAAGAGGGGCAUAUGGAGGUGGCAAAAGACUUUCGUCCCCGAAUUGGCUAUCAGAAAUGGAGAAAGCAGAACCUGAAGCACCUCAUGUCCUCAUCUUGCCAAUCCCUGCUCAAGGCCAUCUCAAACCCAUGUUGAAGCUAGCAGAGCUUCUCAGCUACGCUAGUUUCCAAAUCACCUUCCUAAACACUGAAUACUUCCACCAUACAUUCCUUUCCUCUAUCGACAUCCACGCCUUCUCUCGCCGCUUCCCUAAAUUUCAAUUCGUAACAAUCCCAGAUGGUAUACCACCUGAUUCUCCACGCCCCGGAAAAAGUAUCGCUCAUUCUUUAAUCUCUCUUACGGAUGCAGCUAAGCCUGCCGUUGUUGAGGUGCUGGUUUCUCUCAGAUCUAAAUCAGGGCGGCCUCCCACCUGCAUAAUAGCUGAUGGGAUAAUGUCGUCUGCUGCUGUUGCUGCUGGUGAGGAAUUUGGGAUCCCUGUUUUAGCUUUUCGCACCUACAGUGCUUGUUGCACCUGGACUUACUUCCACUUGUCCAACCUCAUUGAAGGAGGGGAAGUCCCAUUACCAGAUAAAGACAUGGACAAGCUAGUGACUUGCAUUCCUGGUUUGGAGAAUGUUUUACGACGUCGAGAUCUUCCAAGUUUUUGUAGGCUUGAGAAAGCCGACGAUCAUCUGCUCUACGACUUCUUCAUCGCCCAAGCUUCGGCCAUGCGACGAGCAUCUGCUCUCAUCCUCAACACGUUCGAACAACUUGAAACACCCUUUAUAUCUAAGCUCGCUUCUAUUUUCUCCAAAAUUUACACUAUCGGACCAUUGCAUUGUCUCUCCAAUGUGGACGACCCAACAGCUUUAGCUUCAACAAAAAGUAUUUUUUGGCAAGAAGAAAAAGGUUGCCUCACUUGGCUUGAUUCUCACCCAUCAAAAUCAGUUGUGUUCGUUAGCUUUGGGAGUGUAGUGACCUUCACCCUUGACCAAAUGCUUGAAUUUUGGCAUGGCUUGGUUAACAGUGGGAAACCAUUUCUAUGGGUCAUACGGUCCAACGCCAUUAUUGGAGAGGAUGAUCCAAGGAAAAUAUUGGAGGACCUGAAAGACAAUACAAAAGGGAAGGGAUCGAUAGUGAGUUGGGCACCUCAAGAAGAGGUCUUAGCCCACCCUGCUGUGGGUGCAUUCUUGACUCAUAGCGGUUGGAACUCCACCUUGGAGAGUAUAUACGCAGGGGUUCCCAUGAUUUGCUGGCCUCUAUUUGUGGAUCAAUAUGUCAACAGCAGAUGCGUGAGUCAUGUGUGGAGAGUAGGUUUUGAUAUGAAAGAUAGUUGUCAUAGAUCCAUUGUUGAAAAAAUGGUUAGGGACGUGAUUGAAAUGAAGAAUGAAGAAAUAAUGAAGUCAAUGGAAGAGAUUUCAAAGCAAGCUCAAGAGAGUGUCAAGGAAAGUGGGCCUUCUUACUGCAACUUGGACAAAAUGAUUCAAGACAUAAUGUCAGUCAAUCUGGAAAACAUUAAUAGAAGAGAUUGAGGUAACCAUUUUUCAGGUCAAUUUUAAACAAAAAUUAGGAAAAUGAACCAGUUUCUGAAAUGAUUAGGAAAAUUGGCCAAUUUUGGAUAAAAAAGACGAAAACAAGUUCUGUAGGACGAUUUUUCUGACUUCUUUAAACAUUAGCUCUUUCUGUCUCCUUUUGUGCAUUGAAACAGUUCAACCAUGUGCUGCCUAGUUUCCUAUCCUGUAUUAUUGCCCACCAAGGACGCAUAUUGAAGCCAAAUACACCCAAGGGUGCUGCAUAUAUGGUAUAGAAGAAAAUCUCAGUUCCUAAAACGUUGUGUUCAUUUCUUAAAAUAAGGUUGUGUUGAACCAAUUUGUUGAGUGAACACAAACGUGCUUUUUUGACCAAAUGAACACAAAUUGGUUUGAUUUGGUCAAAAGAGCAUACAAACUGCUUUAGGUUUAAAGUAUCAAUGUAUUGUUUGAUAUCAUCCACACCUUGUGCUUCAUAUAUUUUCUUCAAGUAAGUCACUUCACCA
This is an RNA transcript of Gossypium raimondii (Peruvian cotton), 2023 nucleotides long. It is a transcript of the gene named 7-deoxyloganetic acid glucosyltransferase, with no coding region annotated. The transcript is spliced from 3 exons. Lineage: Eukaryota; Viridiplantae; Streptophyta; Magnoliopsida; Malvales; Malvaceae. The record is from RefSeq and is a predicted model, not a curated record.